UCUUGAAAUCUUCUAGCAAAUGCUUCAUUGACCUUAGCUACCUCAUCAGUGCCAACACUUCUCAAAGAUGGAAACAGAGUGGUGUUAAUCUCUGUCUCUCCAAAAGAAGUGUUACUGUACCAACCAUCAAAAGACAAAGUUCCAGCAAAAGCAAAAACAACAUCAGUAGACCGAUCUAUUUUCUUGUAAAUAUAAGGUAUCCCAGGUGAUAAUUUGUGAGCUUCCAUGGCUAAGUUACAAGCUUUCUUGAUUAGCUCUUCUCUGACUUCAAAUUCCUUCUUCCAAAUUUUUCACCAUUUUUUGCUUCUUAGCUGCUUAAAGAUUGCAACUUUACUGUUUAGUUUUCAAAAAUCUUUGAAGAAAGAUUGAGGAUGGAGAGAUGGAAUGAAGGUAAAGGGGAAAUGGGUAUUUAAGCUUUUGGUGAUUGGAUGAAAUGUAGAGGAAAUGAGUCAUUGACUUUUGAAGUCUUUGUUUUGCUUUGCUUGACUCUUGCCUGUGGAAAUUGAAUAGGAAGAUAAAUAGUAUCUAUCAAGGAAAUUUCCUACUAAUUGUUCUGCAAAAUGGUUAAUGUACGGACUCUUCAAAAAUGUUAUUUUUAUAGAAAUGAUUACUGUGGAAGGAUUUGAUAUGCACUCGCUUUUUAUUUGUCGUGAAUUCCCCUUUAUGUCUUCCAUAAGAACAAGAGGGAUGGGCUCUCCGCCAACACUUUUCAUAUACUUGUCGACAUUUUUAAAAGUUUGAACGACAUUGUAUAUUUUACUUUUAUUUUUGUUCUAGCUUGUUUCAAAAAAAUAUAUCAUAUUUCUAUUUUACUUUUUAAAAUAGUACUCCCUCCGUUUCACAAAGAAUGACCUUCUUUCCUUUUUAGUCAGUUUCAAAAAAAUGACCUCUUUCCUUUUUUGGUAACAUUUUACUUUUUGCUUUCCACGUGACAUGUUUAAGACCACAAGAUUAAGGACAAUUUUGUACAUUUAACAUAACUUUAAUUUAGGACCACAAGAUUCAAAAAUCUUCUUUAAUUUCUUAAACUUCAUGCCAAGUCAAACCAGACCAAUCUUUUUGAAACGGAGGGAGUACUUUAAUAUAAGCUAAUAUGUAAUGUUUAAGAAUACAAAUACUUUUAUUUUGUUAUGCACGUAUUUAAUUUAAGAGAACAAAAUUAAAAGAAUCUUUUUCUUUAUAUUCUACUCCCUCUGUCCCAUUUUAUGUGAGAUAGUUUGACUCGGCACGAAGUUUAAGAAAGAAAUGAAGACUUCUAAAAUUUGUGGUCCAAAAUGAAUGAUAGAAAUUUGUGUGGUUGAAGAAAGAUUGAGGAUGGAGAGAUGGAAUGAAGGUAAAGGGGAAAUGGGUAUUUAAGCUUUUGGUGAUUGGAUGAAAUGUAGAGGAAAUGAGUCUUUCAUAAGAGCAAGAGGGGUGGGCUCUCUACUAACACUUUUCAUAUAUUUGUCGACAUUUUUGAAAAGUCAUUUAAAAUGAAAUAGUAUAUUUUACUUUUAUUUUUGUUCUAGUUUGUUUCAAAAAAAUAUAUCAUAUUUCUAUUUUACUUUUAAUAAUAGUACUUUAAUAUAAGAUAAUAUGAUAUGUUUAAGAAUAUAGGUAUUUUUAUUUUGUUACACACGUAUUUAAUUUAAGAUAACAAAAUUAGAAGAAUUUUUUUCUUUAUAUUCUAAUUUUUAUGCACAUUACACAUCAAAUGCGACCGACACAUGGAAAGUGAAAAGGGGGGAGCAUAUUGGUGCUAUUAUAUUCUUUCUCUUGAUUAUAUAUUUUGAAAAGUUGGUACUUUCUUUGUUUUUUCUUUAAAAAAAUUUAUAAGAAAUAAAGGUUGGGAAGUUAGACAAGGCAACUCGUUUUGAAGAAAAAUAAAAUUUUGGGAAUGACAAUCAAAAUAUCUCGUGUUCACCUUGGAUCCAAAGAAGGGCCUAACCCGAGAUACAAAUAGAAUAGAAAAGCUACUUUGUUAUUGUCUCUAUUUGAUUAAGGUUUAUUAAAACUGUUUAGUGAUUAACGAGCAAAACAAACAAUUCUAAUAGACUAGAGUUUAGUUUUGCACAUUAUUAAAACUGCUUUAUGGACAAACUCCCUUUCACUAGUUCCUUGAAGGUGACUUGUAAAAAGCCCAUGGUUCAGCAGAAGUAUACUCUGUCACCUGCUUAAUGUUCAAGAAACUUUCAAGACCCCUGCAUCAAUGCACAAACGAUUAUCACUUAUCAGUCCGAUCAGAUCAGAUCAGAGGUAUCAAGUUUGUGCAUUGAAAAAUGAUACAUAGCUACUUAUCUGGCUGCUCUUAUUAGGGGCAUUGGAAUAUACGUGGUGGAAUGUUAUAGGUGUCUGUAAGUUGGCUCGGAUACCAUCUUUAUCAAGAUAUUAAGGCGCAAGGCGCUAAGGAGUUAUUUUCCUUGAUACCCAAGAUGUCUGUUUGUGCUGAGUAGGGAGUGUUUUCCACCAUUUGGUAUAGGUAGAUUCAGGGAAGAAAACAUCAUCGCCAAGAAGGCUACUCUGGAUCCAGCCAUUUGCAGCUGUUUCUAAACUCAGAAUCUUGUCUUGCACUUGUGCAAAUGGCUUGUUUCUUAGUUCCUCCACUUCUGCCCAGAAACAAGACUCGGAACGUGCACCAGCAUGCACUUUAUCAAAAUGCUCUAACCAUCUCUGUGUGAACCGAUAACGCUUAGGCCUACCCCUGAUCAAGUAAGGUCCACUAUCUUCAUUCUUCAAGUGCCUGUAAUAGUUUGCAAUAUCUAAGGGCUCAACUUGCCUGCGAAACUGUGUCCCUAGUUCUAUCCAGUCUUUUUGUCCCUCGAAGCUAUCUGGGAGCUCAUACCUUUUCAACAUUUCAAUGAUCUCAUUCCAUAUACCUGCUAGCUCAUGCCUUUUCACAUUAGCAUUGAAGUCAUCAUCAGUGUUUUGAAUCUUGAAUGCAUCAUAAUACCCAACUUUAUGGAUAUCACACUUGGUCUGGUACUCCUGUAUCUUGCUUAAUGCGUCCCUGAUGCUUCUCUUAUUUUGUUCAAUCUUUUCCUCGUUCUUCUUCUUCUGCUUCUCCCACUCUCCUGCUGCACGAAGACACAGCCUUGCUCUUGUGCUCUGAGAUUUAGAUAACGUGAAAACGCCUAUUAGCUUGAGCAAGAUAGACAAUUCUGUUGAAAAUGAAAAUUAACCAUAUCUAUUGCUUACCAGGCCAAGGUCAUUCAGUGCUGAAUUCAUACUUGCAACUUCAUCGCUUGGAUCAACAUUUGAAGAUAAAGGAAUAUCAGUAAGAUUGUUGAGAUGAAUGACAUCUUGCAUCUCUAAGCUAUCUUGCAUUUCGUUUGUAUACAACAGGUGAUCGUUUAAACUUCUAGCAACGACUACUACAGCUUCUGCUUCGGAACUCAAUUGAGAGGAAUAGAACAGUAACUGCAGAACAGCAUCAGGGUUCUCAACGACAACCAGUUUCCUAUUCCCAGUGCAGAAGAUGUAAGUUCCAAAGGGUAUAUAAGGGCUGAGUUGAACAAUGUUGGAAACAGUUUCCAAGAGCAAGUUUGUGCAUCCCUUCAGAUUACAUGCAGCAUAGCUUGCAACAGAGGAUGCAUUCCUCAUUACAGUCAUAAAGAAAUUCAAUGCAUUACUUGAUCGUGCAACAGCAUCGCGCUGAGAAUACUGGGACUUCGGAUUGAUGAAGGGAGAGAUUGCUUGAAGCAAUUCUUGAAUUGAUGAAAGAGGAGCAAGCAUCAUCCUGGGGACAAUGUCGUACUUCAUGACAAAAUGUAUGAAGUAACGAGCCCAGUUUUCGCGCCUGAGGGCAUGAGACCAUAUCUUGUUGCCAACAAGAGGGGAUCCAAAAGUCAUACAGUAUAGAUGGACUAACAUGUCACCUUCUGGUCUUGUGCGGCAACAUUCCAGACACCAGAGAGCUGCCAGAAUAGCUAUAGCACCACCGGACGAGUGCCCUGCAAACACUACUUGUCUUCCUUUUGACAUUGCCUUCUCCACCUAAAACCAACACAACUCCAUGAAUCAACAUUCACUUUCCAAAUCAAAGAUGAAGGUAUGAAGCUUAAUUUCCAUUAACCUAGUCUACACUCUACAGAGGCAUUAUCAUGAUAGAAUCUAUGAUAGGAAUCAGUACUCUAUUUAGACUUGGAACAUAUUGCUGACAUGAUAACUAAUACUCCCUUCUUUGCAAUUUAAGUGUCUUACUAUCUUUUUUGGUCUGUUCCAAAAAAGAGUCUCUUUUUAUAUCUUGUAAGUUUUCCAAUCCCAACACUCUACAAGGAGUUAAAGACCAAAAGAUUUAUAGGACUACACACAUAUUUAAAAGUCUCCCUUUAUUUCUUAAACCCCGUGUCUAGUCAAACUAUGACACUAAAAUUGGGACGGAGGGAAUAAAUAAACCACUAGACGGAAUCAAGUUGAUCAAACUGAACUAUCAGGAAUAGAACUUCCAAUGCUCUUGAAAAAAAAUUGAAUCAAAAAGAAAAAAUUCUUUGUCUAAAGACUUGCACAGAAUUUGAUUCUUCAACUGGUGUACACUCAAGUUGUAAAAAACAUUUAUCUAUAGGUUAUACUAAUAUUAAACACUACAGUUUUUUCGUGUCAAGUCAAAAUCAAGACAAACAAAUUGAAACGAAAGGAGUUUUAAGAAAGAACAAGAUGAUUGAACCCCAGUAUGUAUACCUCAUUUUUAAGUGAAGAUUUGUCCAGUAUGUCUUGAAAUCUUCUAGCAAAUGCUUCAUUGACCUUAGCUACCUCAUCAGUGCCAACACUUCUCAAAGAUGGAAACAGAGUGGUGUUAAUCUCUGUCUCUCCAAAAGAAGUGUUACUGUACCAACCAUCAAAAGACAAAGUUCCAGCAAAAGCAAUAACAACAUCAGUAGACCCAUUUAUUUUCUUGUAAAUAUAAGGUUUCUCAGGUGAUAAAUUGUGAGCUUCCAUGGCUAAGUUACAAGCUUUCUUGAUUAGCUCUUCUCUGACUUCAAUUCCUUCUCCAAUUUUUCACCAUUUUUUGCUUCUUAGCUGCUUAAAGAUUGCAACUUUACUGUUAGUUUCAAAACCUUGAAGAAAGAUUGAGGAUGGAGAGAUGGAAUGAAGGUAAGGGGAAAUGGGUAUUUAAGCUUUUGGUGAUUGGAUGAAAUGUAGAGGAAAUGAGUCAUUGACUUUUGGAGUCUUUGUAUAGCUUUGCUUGACUCUUGCCUGUGGAAAUUGUAUAGGAAGAUAAAUGGGAGUAUGUAUCAAGGAAAUUUCCUACUAAUUGUUCUGCAAAAUGGUUAUUGUACGGACUCAUAUUAAUUUUAUAGAAAUGAUUAUUUUUGAAGGAUUUGAUAUGCAUUCGCUUUUCAUUCGUCGUAAAUUCCCUUUUACGUCUUUCAUAAGAGCAAGAGGGGUGGGUACUCUACUAACACUUCACUUUUCAUAUAUUUGUCGACAUUUUUGAAAAGUUAUUUAAAAUGAAAUAGUAUAUUUUACUUUUAUUUUUGUUCUAGUUUGUUUCAAAAAAAUAUAUCAUAUUUCUAUUUUACUUUUAAUAAUAGUACUUUAAUAUAAGAUAAUAUGAUAUGUUUAAGAAUAUAGGUAUUUUUAUUUUGUUACACACGUAUUUAAUUUAAGAUAACAAAAUUAGAAGAAUUUUUUUCUUUAUAUUCUAAUUUUUAUGCACAUUACACAUCAAAUGCGACCGACACAUGGAAAGUGAAAAGGGGGGAGUAUAUUGGUGCUAUUAUAUUCUUUCUCUUGAUUAUUUUGAAAAGUGGGUACCCACUGAAGGACAACUUGGUGGUUGGUACUUUCUUUGUUUUUUCUUUAAUUUUUUUAUAAGAAAUAAAGGCUGGGAAGUUAGAAAAGGCAACUCGUUUUGAAGAAAAAUAAAAUUUUGGGUAUGACAAAUAAAAUAUUUCGUGUUCACACUGGAUCCAAAGAAGGGCCUAACCCGAGAUACAAAUAGAAUAGAAAAGCUACUUUGAUAUUGUCUCUAUUCGAUUAAGGUUUAUUAAAAUUGUUUAUUGAUUAACGAGCAAAACAAACAAUUCUAAUAGACUAGAGUUUAGUUUGCACAUUAUUAAAAUUGCUUUAUGGACAAACUCCCUUUCACUAGUUCCUUGAAGGUGACUUGUAAAAAGCCCAUGGUUCAGCAGAAGUAUACUCUGUCACCUGCUUAAUGUUCAAGAAACUUUCAAGACCCCUGCAUCAAUGCACAAACGAUUAUCACUUAUCAGUCCGAUCAGAUCAGAUCAGAUCAGAGGUCUCAAGUUCGUGCAUUGAAAAUGAAACAGUUUUUUGGUAAAGAACAUUUUUCACUUUAUUAGAUCUUAUACAAUGUGAGUUCAGAUUAGUGAGUGCUUACCAUUCCCCUAGAUCACGUCCAAAACCACUACGCUUUUUACCACCCCAUGGAAGCUGAUUAAAGGUUGGCUGUGAACAGUUAAUCCAGAUGAUCCCUGUCUGAAAUGCCUGCAAAUUAAAUUCCAGCUAAUUAACAACAGGUCAAUCGCCUUCUGAUAUUGAUUUAUAAAGGAAUUGAUUGUAGCAAAUGUGAAAUACUAGCUCCCACCUUUGUAAACCUCUCACACCUUUUAACAUCUUUUGACAUAACAGCAGCAGCCAAACCAUACCUAUGAAAAAAGGAGGAAAAAAUCAACAACAAACAACUAAAGUUUGCUCUAUUUUCUAUUGGCAUAUAAAUCUCUGAGAGAACUAUACUCCUAGAAAACAGUGGAUCCAAAGAAAACAUACCUAAAACUUAGUUCCAACUAACUAAAAAGGUAAAAAUGGAAGAACAAAAAAACAUGGUUAACAUCAGUCUGAAUAGGCAACUCACUUGGUGUCAUUUGCUAGUUCAAUGGCUUCCUCUUCAGUUUUGAAUGUUUUGACACAAAGAACAGGUCCGAAUACUUCCUCUUUCCAGAUUUCCAUUGAGGUAUUAACAUCAGUAAUAAUAGUUGGCUGAACAUAAUAUCCUUUCUUCAAAUGCUGCAAUUCAAUUGUGAUGACUUCAGUUGUUUUACAAAAGAUUGACAAACAAACUAAAGCAUCUGCAGGCUUUUGCUAAAAAGGAUUUUUUUUACCUGAGGCCGUUUGCCACCAUAAAGAAUGGUUGCACCUUCACUUUUGGCAUUUGAGAUAAACUUCAAUACCUUCUCAUACUGCACGUUAACAAAAAUUAGUACAUAGAUAUUGUCUACAAAUUGUGUGACCACUCCAUCUACAAGAUCCGCUAGAAAAUAACAAACCAAAAGCAGUGUCAUCUAAUGAGUUACUGUGUCAACUCAGUAUUAAACAUCUACGUUUUGUUUAUGAAGCACUUUAUAGUUAGAGAACCACAUAUCCUAUUUUACAUGCGAUUUCUUACUUGUCCAGCACUGACGACAGGACCAAGCUUGCAGUCUUCUUCCAAAGGAUCGGAGAUUUUGAUGUUUUUGGUCCACUUAAGCAGCCUGUCCAAAAAUGCAGAAGCAAUGCUUUCCUGGAAUAUUCAGAAUUUGAUUUUAAGAAAAGUAUCAACAUGGUAGAUAACAGAAAGGAAAAUACCACAAAAGAAUACAUCAAAAAGACCGGGAAAUGCUACAGUUUUUGUAAGUUAGAACUAAUGUAAUCAGCAUUCACGUCUGGCCUUGAUAUGCUAUGUAUAGUAAAACCUCUACUAGAUCAUAUUUUUCUUGGGAAGGCCACAUCCCAUCUCAUAUACUCAUAUUUGCUACACCUUUUUACUAUUUACUGAAUUCUAGUAUGUAAUUUGAUACUACUCUCCAUGCAAUUUCUAACUUUAUAAAGUUUUUUUCAUUAGAUAAAUCAAUUGAUAUCCAAUUUUAUUUUUUUUAAAUUGCACCCUACCAAUCCACAUCAGCUCACGUUUAGGAAAUAAAUUUAUCUUUCCCACCCUGAACAAUUUUUGUUCAUAAGAAAACAAAGUAAAUGAACUGGAGUCCCAAAUUUUUCCAAGAAAUAGGCAGGUAAGACAGUGUCACACAAUUUGAAUCUUUGAGUGGCAAUUUUGGUGAUCUUCUCUCAGGCAUAACCCUCUCUCACAAAGUGUUAAAGAGUUGAACUUCACAUUCCUAUUACACUGCCAAGCACGAUAUGACUUGACGAACAUACACACACUGACACACAGAGGUGUUCCGAGAGGUACUUCCUAGAUAAUUUGUAAAUAGUACCAAUCCAGGACCGAGUUAACCAAAGGAGAACACUGUGACUAAAUAUAUGGACCUCAUCCACUUUUACACUUGUUACCUGUACUAUAAGCCGUGAUGUUGCACUACAAACUUGACCAGUAUUCGCAAAGAUACCAAAAAGAGUCCACUCAGCAGCUGCAUUAGACAACGAAGAACAUAGGAUCAAUAACCAAGAUUAUAUUCCUAAACAAAAGGGUGAAGUUAACUUCUUAACCAAAUGGUCGUGUGUACAAUUUAAAAAGAACAAACCUAUAUCAAGGUUAUCGAUGUCGUCAAACACAACUAUUGGACUUUUUCCACCAAGCUCAAGACUAACUGGCUGCAAAUGAAACAUAAGGGCUUAGCAAUAAUUAAUCCACCCGCACGCCAGCAAGUUAUUUUUCCAGUUAGAACCUAAAAGAUUACUUAUUUACGACAAAGCGUACUUUAACAAGUUGAGCUGCAGCAGUCAUGAUCUUAGAUCCUGUAGGUCCACUUCCUGUAAAUGAAAUCUGUCACCAAAAAUUUUAAAAAUCAUUUCAACAUAUUUUAUGUGAGAUUCGAUAAAUAUACAAAAGACAAACUCGAAAAGGAAACAGGCAAACCUUGUCCACAUGAGGAUGAGAUGCCAAAGGACCACCAGCUUCAGGCCCUAAUCCUGUUAAAAUGUUAAGGGCACCAGAAGGAAGACCAAUCUCUCUACAGAUCUCACCCAACUCCAAACAGGUACUACAAUUGAAUGUCAGAAUCAUUUAAUUAACGAAGCAAAUGAUGCGGAUCAAGGAUAUAGAUACUGAAGAUGAUAUGCUACAAGGACUCACACUGAUGCUAGUUCAGACGGCUUAAGUAUUGCUGCACAACCAGCAGCCAGAGCAGGGGCAACUUUCCAUAUGGCCAUUAACAAUGGAUAAUUCCUUCAUUAUGAAAACAAAAGGAUCAUUGACUUGAAAAAGUAUACUUGAAUGUCAUUCUCAUUGUUCAUUUAUUAGGAUUAUGGUCCAACUUUUCCAAUGAAAUAUAUUGUUGAACUAGGAGACAACUAGGUUAACUGAAUAUUCUUCAUUUUCGCCAUAUUUCAACAUUUUAAGAACUAACCAGACCACCUCAGAUAAAGUAUAAUGACUUACUUUUAGCUUGUCAAUGAUACGAAAACAACCAGUGGAUAUAUAAAUGUACAGAAAACAUUAGUUAAAUGCAGAAGUUCCACCACAAACAUCUGCCUGAUCAAUAUGUGGUUUGUAAAACUAAAAAAACCGUAAUAACUCUGAAAAAUGGCACCUACCAUGGAGUUAUCAAUCCCACAACACCAAGAGGUUCUCUAAGAACAUAAGUUUUAAAUGAAUCCGAAUUAAGAUUGACAGGAGUCUUCCUUCUCGAAUCCAAAGCUUCAGCGAGGUCUGCAUAGUACUCAAAACAUCCUGCGACAUCAUCCUGAAAUAUAAGACAGCACAUAGAAUAAGUUUGUGUACAUCAAGUUGAAGCAAACUAUAUAUUUAUCUCAUUUAUGCAAGAAAGUACCAUAUCUGCAGCAGACUCAAACAAUGUUUUUCCACUAUCAAGGGAUUCAAGUGUUGCAAGUACGGAUUUCUUCUCCAGUACCUAUGAAAAAAAUAAGCUAAAACAGUUAGCAAAUGAAUCAUUUAAAGAAAAGCAGAAUAGUCAAUUAGUUCUGAAGAAUGUCCCAAUAUCUUGCCAACACCAUGCAAUAUAUACAGCAGCUCACUAGUAUCCAAGAACAUAAUCUACUUGAGUGGAAAUUUCCUGUUUUUCUCAAAGUAGUAAGGUAGAUGCCCCUAAAAUGACUCCUCCGCGACAUCUACAGCUGCACAGUUUUUCAGGCAUCUAUAGUGGAUAAAAUUUGUGCUUAGGACAAUCUAAAAGGCGCUCACAGCUUGGAGGAAUCACAAAUGUAAUAUUACAUAUACACUAAACCUAUUACUAUGCUUUAAUCUCAAAUCAAAUCGUUUACGUUCAUUUCACUCCAGUUGGAGACUUGUUUCACUCCAAUACUGAAUAGUUUAUCUAUAAAAAAGAAAAUUGAGUUUUAUGUACGUAGUAGACUUGGCAUUCUCAGAGCUAGCUAUCCUUCAACGGAGAAAGAUUUAAUUAUCUGUCGACACACUAGCAGUACUUAGAGACAAUCAACUAGCUUUUACGCCUAAAAGUUUCACUACACCUGAGUUCAAUCCUUCAAGGACAGAAGGAACCGCGAUCUCGAUGUAACUCAGAGAAUACAGUUCCUAAAUCCUGUAUAAUUUGAGCUCACACUGUUCCGAACUCAUACAUAAUUACGAAAUUAGCAUUGAAAUAUAGAUAAUUUUUCUGCUUCUGGACUAGUAACUGCCUUCAUCCAGAUUCCAGGGUUCUAAUAAAAUUCCUGAAAAAAAUCAUGAAUAUGUAAAAUUAAGAUGCCAAUGCAGAACAGUACACAACCUUAGCAGCAAUAGCACGGAGAUAUUUUGCGCGUUGUGCCCCUGUUGUAGAACCCCAGUCAUCCCUAGCAAUCGCUUUCCGUGCUGCUUCCACAGCUAUAUCCACAUCUUCCGCGGUAGCCGCCGGAAUAUCCCCUGAAAAUCCAAUUUAAACAUAAUCUCUCAUCAGAACAAAAGUAAUUUUCACGUGCUUCACCAGCAUUCAACAAAAAAAAAAAAAAAAAAAAGAGUGAGAAAUACGAUCAGAUUACAAUUACGGAUAGAAUAGAGUAUGCUAAUCAUCUACUGACGUACCGAUGAUUUCUUCAGUAGCCGGAUUGAUUAUCGGAAUCCGGUUCUUCUUGACCGGUUCUCUCCAUUCUCCGCCGAUGUACAGCUGUCGACGUGAGAUUGGUACAUUACGAUUUGCCAUAACUCGAUACAAUCACCUCACAGUUUAAGACUCUUACGUAGAGAAAACUAAUCUACGUUACCGCCAAAAAAUGGCGCAGGGAGUAAUUAGAUCAGUGAUUUUUGUUCUUAUAAAAGCCACUAUAUAAAGAAAUGAGCAUACAAAGAAGUCGAAAGGAUUUAACAUCUACAAUUUUAACCUAUAUAUAAGUAAUUUUAGGGUUCUGAUGAAGAUGUUCCACGACCUAAUAUUUGUGUGAUUAUGAAAUUUUUUUCAUUUAAAAGUAAAAUGUUGAUUUUAAUUCAAAUUAUAAUUCAAAUGAAGAAAUGCAUAAUUAUUUUUGGAAUAAAUUGAUAAGAAAAUAAUAUUACUAUUUUUUUUGAGAGAAAUCCUCAAAUGAAUGAAAGUGGAAAAAGAAGAAAAUAUAGCUCCAAAGUGGAAAUUGUGCUUUAUUGGAUAAUGUAUGAUUAGUAACAUCACUUAUCCAUCUUUUUCAUGUGUUAGCGUGGGUUAGAGUCUACAUUGAUUUGAGAUAAUGGACUAUGGUUUGAAAUUAAUUCUCAUUUUAUGAGUUAGUAUUUGACUCAUAUGUUAUAUUAUUACAUAUUACUAAAGUCAGAUUCAUUCAUGCAUUCAUAUGAGUGUCAAUAAUGCUUAGGUUUCUUGAUAUUUCUUUUGUUACGUAGAAACUAAGACAAUCAUAAAUAUUUGCGUUCAUACUUAAUAUUUACGUCAAAUCAAAAAUAUAAUCUUAAUAAAUAAUAUGAUAAUACAUACUAUAAUUGAGCAAUAGAUUUAUGUAUAAAACUAUAAAUAUUAUAUAUUUAUUAAAUUAAUAUAAAUAUCGAAUAUGAGUAAUUUUAACGCGAAAGAUGUUAAUAGUAAAGGGAUCUAAGGCAAUGGUGGUGGUGGGGGGGGCCUAACCAGAUAAGAUGACAAUGAAGUACUCAUCACUUGUUGACAUUUCAGUUUUUUUGUUUUUUGACAAUAACAUAAAGAUAUGCUUCUCAGUUCUCACUUAAAUCAACAUUGAAUUUAUAUUACUUCAUAAAUUUUAUUUCAAUCAUGGUAUUCAAUUGUUUUUGUAGGUUGUAUACUUAAAAAUCAUUAGUAAUGGUUUCGUUUUUUGAAUUGUUAUACUUAACCUAGAUAUGCCUUAUAUACUUCAUCUUUUAUGAUUUAUCAGGUUGGAUUAAUUAGUGAUGAUUUCUGAUACUGAUUGAAAAAAAUGUAAUUAAAGAAAAUCGAUCAUGAGAAAAUUAAAACGAACAACACAAUAACAAGACAUAUAAAGUAAACCAAGUAGCAAGUGGUUGUGAAAAUUGAAGUAAUUUUAUUACUUCAUAAAACAAUACUCCAUAAUUUUAUUUUAAUUUAUAUGUUUUACUUUUUUAAUCCUUUUUAAAAAGGGUGUUUCUUCCUCACAAUUUUCGGCAAUUUAUUGAUUUAAAUUUUUUCACAUGACAUGUUUAAAAUCAUAAAAUUAAAUAAUAUUUUCUACAUAUUUUUAGUUUAAUAUCACAACAAUCAAAAUUCUACUUUAAUUUUCUAAAACUAUAUAACAAAUCAAAACUAAAAAAAUAAAUUGAAACCAAGAUCGUACUACUAAUAGAAUGGACUAAUAUGUAUAGGAUCUAUCUAUAGAAUUAAUUGGGUUGGCAUUAAUUUGUUGACCUAGCUCGAUCAAAUUUGUGUAUUCAUACCUAAAUUUGACCAACUUAUUAAUGUUAACAUAAUGAGAAAAUACUUAAAUAAUAAAAGUAUGUUUUUUCUAACAAAAAAUCUCACUACCAUUCAAAAUUAAAAAGAAUCUCCACAUGCUUGGUCAUGGAAAAAAAAUCAAACCCCCACAUAAGGAGCGUAUAGUAAUUAAAUAAAAAUAUCAAACCCGCACGUAAGGAGCGUAUAGUUUAUCUUUUGACUUUGCUGGAUUAUUAGUCUCCAUGAAUUGAUUUAUUCAUUUACUAUUAAAGGUGAUAUUUUAUUUUCUUGCAUCAAAAUUUAGGCUUUUGACUACUAGAGAACAACCAGACGCUACUCUUGGAUAUUAUUUAUCUCAUGUCUAAGGUGAACCCAUUAAUCAUCAUACAGUUUUUGUUUUUGGUUUCUCAUUCAACGUUUGAUAUUUAUAUUAGAGUUUGAUUAAAUUUAGAUUUGUGUUAGAAAGUUCACUCUAAUACAUAAAGUGCUCCCUAAUAAUAAUGACUCUAUACCCAAAGAAACUUGAACUCGAGACCUCCGAACCCAUUAUAGUUAUACCACAAAAACUAGGUUCUUUUGCAGUGACUCAAUUAGUCGCCACAAAAGCAAAGGAUUUUAGGAUUUUGUGACAAUUAUAUGCGCAUUCGAGUGACUACAAUAGCCACAAGUAGCGUUAUUUUUCAUAUUUUUGAAAAAUUAACAAUUUCACAAUUAGAAUAGACAAAUAUUAAAUUAAUUAGUCAAUUCAAAUAGAAGAAACCCAACUAUAUAGUGAUAAUUAAUAUUUUUUUUCUUAUUGAAUAUAAUUGUAGUUUAAUUAAUUACUUAUUCCAGGGAAAGAAAAGUUUACAACUAGUUUCAGAUCUCAUACACGUUUCUUCAUCUAGAAUUUGCCAAAUAUAAAAAUGUCCAAUAGGAUCACAAUUAUCCUUAUCUCUAUCAAAGUUAAAUAACUCAAAAUGGACAUGUUUUUUUGAUAAAACAAUUAAAUCUAUAUCACAAGUGAGUUUGUUAUCUCCUUUGGGAAUUAUAGGAAUAUCGAUGUAAUUGAGAUCACUUCCGGGAAUUAAUUUACUUUGGAACACAUCUUCUCCUCUCAAAAAACAAUCGAUUACUGCUAUUUUUUAAGCUUUAUUUUCAAUACCAACUGAAUAUAUGAAUUGUGAACUAACUGAACAUGAGAAAAUAAGUAGGAGACAUGUAUUGAUAUUGUAUAGAUAAUUAUGCUAUGUAUCAAUACUGUAUAAAUGGUGUAUAAGUAUGUAUCAAUAUUAUAUAUAUAUCGAUAUUGUAUAAAUAAUGUAUAAUUGUGUAUCAAUAUUAUAUAAAUAAUUAUGUAUUGUAUAAUAUCAAUAAUUAUUUGACUAUCAUACAUUCCCACCUUAAUAAAUAAAAGAAUAAAUAAAACAUAAUAAAUCUACACAAUUUUUUAUUUUUUUUAAAUAGCACGGCAAAAAAAACAGAAAUAAAGAUUUUUUUUAAAAAAACAAGGAAAAUGGCCAAAUUUACAUUCCCAGUUGUAAACCAAAUAGACGAGCGACUAUAUUUGGUACAAAAAAUGGCAAAUUGGACAUUUUUAAUAAAAUAAAAAAAAGGUGAAUUAUUUUUUGUGUAAGUGAAUUGUUUUUUUAAUCCAAUGAACAUUUUGCAUGAUUUUUCCAAUAUAAAAAUAAAAGUAAGAAAAUGGGUGUCUUGAGCCCAAAUAAUUCGUCUAAAACCUUUCAAUUUAUCAGGUUUAUAUAUAUAUAACUAGACUCAUAUUUACGAAAUGUAGAAAAAAAAAAACAAUUCACAAAAUACAACAGAAUAUCUUUCAUAAAAUAUAUAUAAAUUUCACUAGGACUUAAAUGUUUCGCUCAAAGGCAUAAAAAAUUCUAUCAAUAUUUUGUGUAUGAAAAUAGAAUAAAAUUAAGAUAUGUAUAUCUUGCUCAAAACUUAAAACUUUGCUCACAUUUUGUGUAUAAAAUUUAUUAUGAAAUAUCUAUAUCUCUCUUGAGGCUUAGAAUUUCGCUCACAAUUUUCUUAUAUGAAAACUGUAUAGAAUGAUAGAAUAGGAGAGAAAAAAUUGUAUAACUAUUGUAUAAAUUUAAUAUAACUACAACACACAUGUAAAAGUUCUAUAUGAAAUAAAUCGAGAUUAACCAUAUCUUUUCCACUUAAAAAACAAUGGACUUCCGCUGUUAUUGAAGCUAUAUUUUUAAUAUCAACCCUGUACGAUAUUUGUGAAUUGAGUAAACAUGAGAAAAUAAGUGAGAAGCAUACUAUGAAUAAUGGGGAAGACAUGAUGGCUUUUUCUUGUUUUUGUGUGAGUGUUUGUGUUGAUGUGACAAUUUAUAACAAAUGUUCUCAUGUUACUUGAGAUUCAUGUAAUAUGAUUUUAUUUUAUUUUUGUCUUUGCAGAGAAUGAAGUUUUAUUGAUAAGUCUAUAUUAAAUUUGAAUUAAAUGUCAUAUUCAUGAUAUGUUAAGUAAGUUAAAUUAUUGAUAAAUAAAAUUGGAUUAAUGUACAAAAACUAAGUUAUUGUCCUAUCGGGAACAACAAAAUCCUCUUAAGUCUUAAACUCAGACACGCGUCCAAUGAUUUAUAUUAUAUCCCAAAGACAUUAAUUACCACAAUUGAGUUUAAUAUAUAAUUAGAUUACUUAAAAAUAAUUAAUUUUAAUGUAUUCACUUGUAAUUUUUUUUUAUAUAACAAUUCUCUCUUUAUAUUACUAUAUAUAAUAAGUGGGAAUAUCUACUACUUAGCACAUGACAAGUGUUGGAUGAUAUGUGCUUUGAUAGUGUUGUACAUUCUUCUUUUAUGGUUGUACCUUUAAAAUUUAUAUUAUUGAACAAUUUAACAUCAUUAAUUACCUACUACUUUAUUAGCCGAAAAGAUAGACCUCAUUUGGGCCCAUUUAUUAUUUAUAUGUUUUCAAUUUUCAAUAUAUGUUGUCUAUCUUAUUAUUUUUUUCAACCUUUUAUUUUUAAACUUCUUGAAAUUUAAUUACCUAUUUAUUACUCUCUCUAUACACUUUUUAAUUGUUAUGAUUUUCCUUUUUUAGAGUCAAACUAUAAGAAUUUUAACUAAUAUUUUACAAUGUGUUUUUUCAUCAUAUUCAUAUGCAACAAAUUACAAUUUAUAGUACUUUAGUAUAGAUUUUACAUAUUUAAAUUUUUUGUUUAAAAUAUCAAAUUAAUACAAUCUAAUUUAACUUUGAAAAUUAUUAUAUUACUACUAUUAAUAAGAGUGAAUGUGAGGAGCUUCCCGUUUAUGGGACUUGACAAAAAAAUCCUCAGAUGUUAUUUUUGUAAUUUCACAUGAAAAAUGUAAUUCAAUUGGUUAGUUAAAGGAGUAGUGCAGCUGCAUUUCAUUUUUUGUAUCUAUUGGACUAAUUUGUCCCCUUAAAACUACAAAUAAUUCGCACAACUUUCUGAAAACAUGAGCCCCACUUAUUACUACUUAGUUGUAUUGCUUUGGUGACUGAUAUCAACUAUUCUCUCACCAAUAAUAUUUCUCCAGUAUUGACUUUAUACAUUUUUUAAGAAAUUAUAAAUAAAAGAGUAAUAUUACUAUAUCAUUCUUUAAAUAUAAUAAAUAUAAUGUAUUAAAAAAUAUAAUUGAAAAAUGACUAUAAUUAAUGAUAAGGGGUAAACUAUCCAUUGAUUUCAUAAAGUGGACAAGUAUUGUAGGACAUUCCAAAAUAGUAUAAUAGACAAUAAUUAUUGGACGGAUGGAGUAGGAUUAAGUCUUUCUUUCAGUACUUUUCUCACAUUAAUUAAUUUCUCUCAGCAUUCAAUUAGUGAAUCUUUAGUAGAAUUAAUUAGAAUACUUUUUACUUAAUAAUACGCACAAUAAGCAAUAAGAGGAAGCUUUCGUUGGUCUGUUCUUUUAAGGGUAUGUUGCUAAACCAUCAACACUGAAAGGUAGCUCUACUGAUAAUUGUGAAGAAAGCAUAUUAAUGGAUUAAAAAUCAAAAAGAGGUAAUUAAACCCUAAAAUAUUAUAAAGACAUCUAUAAAAUUUGGUUGAAGCUCAAAAUCUAUUAGUGCCAUAUAAAUUAGGAUAGAGGAAAUAACAUAUAUUAUUUGAAAUAACAUGAAACGUACUACAAAUCACACAAUAAUUAGCAACUUCAAAAUUUAAAGGACAUACAAAAAAUUUGAUCAACUCUCAAAAUUCUACUAAUGUCACAUAGUUUGGGAUAGAAAAAGUAACAUAUACGUAAAAUGUACUAUAACUCAUAAUAAUUAAAUAACUUCAAAAUCUAAAAGACAUAUACAAAAUUUGCUUGACUUUCGAAAUUCUAUCAAUGACACAUAAAUUGGGACAAAGAAAAUAUUGAAAAUUACAUAUAAAGUAUUAUUAACCACAAUAAUCAACAACUUAAAAUUUAAAGAACAUACAAAAAAAUUGUUUGACCGUUAAAAUUUUAUUAAUGUCACAUAAAUUAAAAUAAAAAAUAAAAAUAUAUGUUGGGCCCGUGCUAGCACGGGCUACUGUAACUAGUAUAUAUAUAUACUUAAAUCCUUGACAGAAUAAUCCUUCAUUAUGGACAGCUAAUAUAUAUCCAAAGCCUGCCUGGCCCCUGCUACCACUAGUAAUAUUCAAAAACACAUUUCUCCUUAAUUUAUUUUUUUUAUUUUGUUUUAAUUAGUUAAAACAAAUCUUAUUUUUUUUAAUUUUUCACAUGGUAUUGAAUCCAUAAGAUUAAAAAAUAUUUUUGGUUUAGGAUUUUAUUUUUUAAACUACAUGCUAAAUAGAAUAGACUUAUAUUGUAUAGGAUUAGGAUCUAUAUAUAGGAUUGGGUUGACAUUAAUAUAGUUGACCUAGGUCGAUCGAGUUUGUGUACUCACACCUAAAUUUGACUAACUUAUUAAUGUAAUGUAAUUACGUAAAUCUAUAAAUUAUGCGAUCAUAUAAUAAAACUUUAUCUUUUGACCUUGUUGGACUAUUAAUCGCCAUGAAUGAUUUAUUCAUUUAUUUUUAAAUAUGAGAUUUUAUUUUAUUUUCUUGCAUCAAUGUUUAGGCUUUAACUAUUAAUUAGGGAACAACCAGGAUUUUAUUCAUCUCAGGUCUAAGGUGAACCCAUUCUAUAGUUUAUUUGUUUUUUUUUGGUUUCUCAUUCGAUAUUUGAUAUUUAUAUUAAAGUCUGACUAAAUUUAGAUUCGUGUUGGCAAGCCCACUCCGAGAAAUAAAGUGAUCCCUAACAAUGAUAAUUUUGUAUUCAAGGAGACUUAAAUCCGAGACCUUCCGAACUCAUUAUAGUUAUACUACAAAAAUUAUGUUCUUUUGUGGUGACUCAUUUAGUCGCCACAAAAGGUUGAUUCUAGUUGUAGUGUUAUUUCUUAUAUUUUUGAAAAAUUAAUGAUUCCGCGAUUUGAAUGUAUAUAUCAAAUAUUAAAUUAAUUAGUCAAUUCAAAUAGAAAAACUCAACUAUGUAUUGAUAAUUAAUAUUUUUUCUUCAUGAAUAUAAUUGUAGUUUUAUCAAUUACUUAUUCCACAGGAAAAAAACCUUACAACUAGUUCCAAAUCCCAUACAGAUUCCUUCAUCUUGAAUUUCCCAAUUACAAAAAUGUCCAUCAUCACAAUUAUUUUUAUCUCUAUCGAAGUUAAAUAACUCAAAAUGAACAUGUUUUGUUGAUAAAACAACUAAAUCUACAUCACAAGUGAGUUUGUUGUCUCCCUUGGGAAUUAUAGGAAUAUCGAUGUAAUUUGGACCAUUUCCGCGAAUUAUUUGACUUUGCAACACAACUUCUCCUCUCAAUAAACAAUAGAUUACUGCUAUUUUUGAAGUUUUAUUUUCGAUAUCAACCUUAUAUAAGAUGGGAUUUGAACUAAUCGGACAUGAGAACAUAAGUAGGAAACAUGCUGUAAAUAAUGGGGAGGUCAUGAGUUUUUUUUCCAUUUUUGAUGUGUGUGUCUUUUUUUAUGUUGAUAGGACUCUAAUUUAUAAUAGUAAUUAUUACAAAAAUUUAAUUACUUCUCAUCUUCUAUAUAUAAUAAAAAUAUAAGUCAUUGAAUCUAGUCCAACAAUUACAACAAGUAAUUCUAUUUACAGAAAAAGGCAAAUUUCAUUAAUAUACAGAAAAACAAAAAAUUACAAAAAAAAAAAGUAAUUUUAUUUACAGAAAAAAUAGUCAAAAAGGAUCAUGCACUUUUACAAAAAAAAUAAGUAAUUCUAUUUUUUUUUUCAGCGUUCGUUAUUUUUAAAAAAAAGUGUUUCUUUUAAUUAUUUUAUUUUAAUUUAAUUUAUUUGUCUUAUUUUUCUUUUUAAUCCGCUUCAAAAAGAAUGUUUCUUUUUCUUCUUGUUUUUUGGAUAACUCAGUAAUUCAAUUUUUCCACAUGACAUGUAUAAUAUACAACAAAAUUAAAGUACAUUUCGUUACAUUCAACAUUAUCUUUAGUUUAAAAUCACAACAAUAGAAAAUCUUCUUUAAUUUCUUAAUAAUAACUCUCUCUCUAUUUAUAUAUAUAUAUAUUAAAGAAGGUGAUGUUGUGCUUAAAGAGAUGAUCGAGAAACCAGGUGUACGAGAUGUUGAGCCAAUGGAAAAAGUGCUUAAUUGGACUUCCACUCCGCUCUUGAUUCCUCGCUCAUCCUGAUAGACAGAGAUGAAUUCUAUGCCAUUUCAAAAAUCUGUGGUAGUCCGAAGGAGGCCUGGAACCCACCUUUUGUGUCUUUUUACCUAAUUAUCUUUCAAUUUCCUUCGUAAUGGUUUGAAAAAAUCAAAAUGGCCCAUGGUCAUGGCCAAAGUUCGUAUAUCCUUAUUUUCAAUGAAAGCUACCUCUAUUGUGAAAAAUUUAUUUCACUUGCUUUAAUUCUUCUAUCUAAAAGUCUUUAUUUCAGUAAAAAUGAUUUUAAAUCUAUCAACAUCAAGUCAUAUCACAAGCCGAAUGAACAAAUGAGGUAGAUGACAAUGUGUUCUAAGAGUAUGAUGAGAAAAUCAUGAUAUCCAAAUACAUUGCCAACGCAUUGAAACGGUUCGAGAAUCAACAUAAGUCGAAUCUAGAUGAUAUAGAAACUGUGAAUCUAGAAAAAAGAUAAAUGUGUCAAUCAAACACGAAUCAACGUCUACCUGACUAAAGCUUAGAAAAGAGAACUCAACGAUUUACAUAGACAAAACAUCGAUACAUUUGAUUGAUUACAUGUCACGGUUGGGCGUAGAUAUUUAUCUCACGAGUCGUCAGUCGACUCAGGUACUGUCAAAAGAUACUAUGUUUGAAGGCUCAUAGUUUCUUUUAUUUCUUUCCUUGUAAUCACAUAAUUUGCAUGUAAUAAUAUAUGCUUUAUAGUUAGAAAAUUAUCCUUUGUAAUGAACUACGUCUGACCUAAAUUCUCAAGAAUGAGAUACGUAGGCGGCNNNUAUAUAUAUAUAUUGAUCAUUUGCAAACUAAAUCACUUAAAGAAAAUAAAUUAAAACAGAGAGAAUAUUGUUGUUAGUAUAGAUUUAUAAGUUAUAUGUAUAAGAUCUAUACAUAGGAUUGGGUUCGAUUAAUAUAGUUGACCUAGCUCAAUUGGAUAUGUGUAUUCACACCCAAAUUUGACUAACUUAUUAAUGUUACAUAAAUUUAUAAAUUAUAGGGUCAUAUAAUUAAAUUUUAUCUUUUGACCUUGUUGGAUUAUUAAUAGCCGUGAAUGAUUUAUUCAUUUGUUUUUAAAUAUGAUAUUUUAUUUUAUUUUCUUGCAUCAAUGUUUAGGCUUUAACUAUAUAUUAACUAGGGAACAACCAGCAGGAUAUUAUUCAUCUCAUGUCUAAGGUGAACCCAUUUUGUAGUUUGUGUGUUUUAUGGUUUCUCAUUUGAUAUUCGAUAUCUAUAUUAAAGUCUAAUUAAAUUUAGAUUUGUGUUGAAAAGCCGUAUCUAAAAAAUAAAUUAAAGUACUUCAUGACAAUGAUAAUUUUGUAUUCAAGGGGACUUGAACUCGAGACCUCCGAUCUCAUUAUAGUUAUACUACAAAAACUACGUUAUUUUAUGGUAACUCAUUUAGUCGCCACAAUAGGCUGAUUCUGAUUGUAGUGUUAUUUCUUAUAUUUUUGAAAAAUUAAUGAUUCCGCGAUUUGAAUAUAUAUAUAUAUAUAUAUAUCAAAUAUUAAAUUAAUUAGUCAAUUCAAAUAGAAAAACUCAACUAUAUAUAUAGUAAUAAUUAAUAUUUUUUUUCUUAUUGAAUAUAAUUGUAGUUUAAUCAAUUACUCAUUCCACAUGAAGAAAAGCUUACAAUCAGUUCCAGAUCCCAUACACAUUCCUUCAUCUUGAAUUUCCCAAAUACAAAAAUGUCCAUCAUCACAAUUAUUUUUAUCUCUAUCAAAGUUAAAUAUCUCAAAAUGGACAUGUAAUUUUCCUAAAACAAUUAAAUCUAUAUCACAAGUGAUUUUGUUAUCUCCUUUGGGAAUUAUAGGAAUAUCGAUGUAAUUUGGACCACUUCCAGGACUUAAUAUACUUUUGAACACAUUUUUUCUCAAAAGACAAUAGAUUACUGCUGUUUUUGAAGCUUUAUUUUCGAUAUUAACCGUAUAUAAGAUGAAAUUUGAACUAACUGAACAUGAAAAAAUAAGUAGGAAACACGUUAUAAAUAAUGAGGAAGUCAUGAGUUUUUUUUCAUUUUCGAUGUGUGUAUUUUGUUUGUGUUGAUGCAACUCUAAUUUAUAAUUGUAAUUAUUACAAAAGUUUAAUUACUUCUUAUCUUCUAUAUAUAAUAAAAAUAUAAGUCAUCGAAUCUAGUCCAACAAUUACAAAAAGUAAUUCUAUUUACAGAAAAAGUCAAAUUUCACUAAUAUACAGAAAAACAAAAAAAAUACAAAAAAAUAACUAUUUAGAGAAAAAAUAGUCAAAACGGAUCAUAGGGUCAACAGAACUUAAAUCGGCCCAAGACCUUUAGGCCAUUUUGCUUCCCUUUUUUUUUACCAGUGUUCGUUAUUUAUUUUUUUUUAAAAAGUGUUUUUUUAAAAUAAAAAAGUAUUUUUUUAAAAAAAAUAAACUUUUUCCAUGUAUCAAUAAUUCAAUAUAGUAUAAAUCUGUACAAAACGUGUAUUGCUAUUGUAUAGAUAGUUAUAUAGUGUAUUGAUACAUAAAUGGUGUAAAUGUGUAUCAUUAUGAGAUAAAUAGUAUAUAAACUAGUAUCGAGAUUAUAUAAACAAUUAUGUAAUGUAUUUAUAUCAUGUUUAUCUGACUAUCAUGUAUUUUCACUUUAAUAAAUAAAUGAAUAAACAAAAAAUGGUAAAACAACAUAAAUAUUCGUUGUUUCCGCAAAAAAAGUGAAACAAUUAGAAAAGGAACCAAAUCAAACCAAACGCAAAUAAAAUCUGUUUACUUAAUCGAUUUUUAUUCAAACUGUGAACACCCUUCAUUGUUUUAUUUUAAUUUAAUUUAUUUUUCUUACUUCUCUUUUUAAUCCAUUUCAAAAAGAAUGUUUCUUUCUCUUCUUUUUUUUCUUUUUUUUUGGAUAACUCAGUAAUUCAAAUUUUACACGCGACAUGUAUAAUUUACCACAAAAUUGAAGUACAUUACAUUCAACAUUAUCUUUAAUUUAAAAUCAUAACAAUUAAAAUCUUCUUUAAUUUCUUAAUAACAAGUUUAUAUAUAUAUAUAUAUAUAUUUUGCAAGUUAAAUCACUUUUAAAAAAAAUUAAAGCAGAAAGAAUACUACUAUUAGUACGGACUUAUAAGUUAUAUGUAUAGGAUCUAUACAUAAGAUUGAGUUGGCAUUAAUAAAGUUGACCUAGCUCAAUUGAGUUUGUAUAUUCAGUUGUUCACACUUAAAUUUGACUAACAUAUUAAGGUUACAUAAAUCUAUAGACUAACUUAUUAAGGUUACAUAAAUCUAUAGAUUAUAGGAUCAUAUAAUUAAAAUUUAUCUUUUGACUUGCUGGAUUACUAAUCGCCAUGAAUUGAUUUAUUCCUUUAUUUUUUAAUACGAGCUUUUAUUUUAUUUUAUUGCAUCAAUGAGUAGGCUUUAACUUAUUAGAGCACAACCAGACACUACUCUUGGAUAUUAUUCAUCUCAUGUCUAAGGCCAACCAAUUAUAUAGUUUCUGUUUUUUUGGUUUCUCAUUCAGAGUUUGGUAUAUAUACUAAAGUCCGAUUAAAUUUAAAUGUGUUGAAAAGUCCAUUCUUGGAAAUAAAACGCUCCCUUAUAACAAUGAUGAAUAUGUACCCAAAGAGAGACCUCUGAACCCAUCAUAAUUAUACUACAAAAACUACGUUCUUUUGUGAUGACUCAUCUAAUCACCACAAGAGUAAAGGAUUUUAGGGUUUUGUGGCAAUUAUAUGCGCGUUUGAGUGACUUAAAUCGCCACAAAAGGUUGAUUUUGGUUAUAGUGUUAUUUCUUGUAUUUUUGAAAGAAGAAAAAAAACGAUUUCGUAAUUAGAAUUAACAUACAUAAUUCAAAUAGAAAAACUCAACUAUAUAGUGAUAAAAAAAAAAUUCUUAUUGAAUAUAAUUGUAGAUUAUUCAAUUACUUAUUCCACUCUAAGAAAAGCUUACAAUUAGUUCCAGAUCCCAUACACAUUCCUCCAUUUUGAAUUUCCCAACGACAAAAAUGUCCAACAGCUUCACAAUUACCCUUAUCUCUAUCAAAAUUAAAUAACUCAAAAUGACCAUGUUUUUUUAAUAAAACAAUUAAAUCUACAUCACAAGUGAGUGUGUUAUCUCCUUUGGGAAUUAUGGGAAUAUCGAUGUAAUUUGGACCACUUCCAGGAAUUAAUUUACUUUGGAAAACAUUUUUUCCUCUCAAAAAACAAUGAAUUACUGCUGCUUCUGAAGCUUUGUUUUCGAUAUUAACCGAGUAUAAAAUGAUUUGUGAACUAACUGAACACGAGAAAAUAAGUAGGAAACAUAUUAUAAAUAAUGGGGAAGUCAUGACUCAUGAGGUUUUUGUUUCUUUUUUGUGUUGUUGUGAGUCUAAUUUAUAGUAGUAAUUAUUCUCAUGUUACUUAAGAUUUAUGUAAUAAGAGAUUUACAAAAGUUUAAUUACUUAGCAUCUAUAAUAAAAAUAUAAGUCAUCAAAUCUAGUCAAAGAAUUGACAAAUUGGACAGUCAAUAACACUUGAUAAAAAGCCAAAAUAUUAAAGGGGAAAUUUCAUUAAUAUACAAAAAAAUAAAAAGUUUACAAAAGAAUUAGCCAAUUUUCUAUUUACAGAAAAAUAGCUAAAAAGGGUCAUGGGCUCAACGGAGCUUAAAUCGGCCCAAGACCAUUAGGUCAUUUUUUUUUUUGUAGCGUUAGUUAAUAAUUAUUUUUUUUAGAAAAAAAAACUUAUUUUGUUAUUGUUUUUCAUAAAAACCUUUUUUUUAAAAUUUUAAAAAAAAUCCACGCAAUUAUCAAUAUUGUAUAAAUGUAUAUAAACGUGUAUUGAUAUUGUAUACAUACUGGUUAUGUAAUGUAUCAAUAUUGCAUAAAUAGUGUAUAAAUGUGUGUGUUUAUAUAUAUAUAUGUUACGAUAAAUAUUAUAUGAUGCCUUGUAUUUCAUAACCGACAAAAUUUUGAUAAUAUUUAUUAGAAUAAAGUCAUAAACAAAUUUGUAUCAAUAGCUUAUUUUGCAGUAUGCAACUAAUUGUGUUUUAAUAUACCUAUCAUUUUUAUGCGAUUUAAGUUUUAAUAAAACAUGAUAUAAUGCAAUAUAGUUUAACUUCUAUGCACUAAAAGUGUAAAAAGUAUACAAGUAAAUCUAUUGAUAUGUUUUAAUUGGUAAUCUGGUAAAAAUGAUAACUACCAUGCUAUCGCAUAUUCUGUAACAAUAGCAUGCAAGUGUUUAAUUUGUGUCUAAUUUUCCAUGAUAAAAGAAUUUGUUGCUAAAUGAAUGGUAGAAAACGAAAGACAAGAAGAUGAAUUAAUAUUUUCAGAAAACAUGUGAGGAAUUAUUGAGUUCCAAGGCAAAGGUCUUUAAAUAGGCAUGCAGGAUUUUUGGGCUGUUCCAAUCCCUUAACCACAUAAAGUAUGAUAUCCACUAACAGAAGAAAAAAUCCAUACAAAUAAAUCACUCAAUUAUCUUUCUUUUCCCCUUAUCAGCAAGGGCAACAUUCUUGUUCUCCAAGAAACGAAUUCUCCUAUUGACAGCAACAAGCUUUGAUUCAACUAUCGUCAGAAGAUCUUUCUCUCCUUGUUCUUCUUCUGGUUCUGGUAUUGGUGUUGAUGAUUCCUUGUGCUUUUUUUCGGGUUUCAAAUUUUGAGAGUAGAGAUCAAGAACUUCUUUACAGGCAUCUAAAUUGUCAGGCCAAGUUUGCAGUUCCCCAUUAGGACCAGUAAUAACAGUACAAACCUUGAUAUCGCAGAGAGUUGCAAGCUCCAUCGAUUUCCUCUUUAUGCAUUCUUUCCUCACCUGAUAAGACUUAGGAUUGUUUGUUUUCUUCUUGCUUUGAUCUUCAUCUGCCAUAGCUUGAUUCGAGGUAGAGUCUGUCAUAUAGCUUGAUUCGAUGUAGAGUCCUGAGAAGAAUGAGUACGUAUAUAUAUAUAUGUGUUUUGUCAAGGUAAUAGGAGACUUUAUUCAAUAACUCUUGUAAUUCUUAUACAUUGAAUAUAUCUCUCUACAUUCAAUGUAUCUCUCACUACAUUGAAAAUAUGUAAUAAGGCAUCCUUAUUUAUAAUACUAACAACCAAAGUAAAAUAGGACUUGAAACCUAUAAAACUAACAAAUUCUAAUUAAACUAAAUAAGGAAAUACCAUAAAUAAUAAAUCUUAAACAAGUAAGGAAUUCUAAACUAUUAAGGAAUCCUAAACUACUUAGGAAUCUUAAUCUUGAUUUAUUUCCUACCUUAUUUAAAUUAUAAUUAGUAUUCCUAAUUUGAAUAGUAAGGAAUUCUAAACGGGCAUGUUAUUAAACAUUGGAAUAAUUGGUUACGGUAUAAAGAGGAGGGAGGAUUGUUGAAGUUAGUAAUAGUAAGAACUGUGAUAUAUCCAUUGAGGUAUCCAAAAUAUAGUUAAUACGAGAAAUUAUAAAAUUAGCUCGUGAAAUUAUAAGUUAUUCAAUUCAUUUAAGUUUGGAUUGAUGAUUAACUCGUUUAUUUAUUUUUAAAAUGUUAUAAUAAAAAUAGUUAUUUAAAAUGUGCCACGUUAAUUGAAAGGUAUAUACAAAAACUAAAUUGUUGUUCAGACGGAAACAAUAAAAUCCUCUUAAGUCUUAAACUCAGAUGCAUUAUGCUAUGUCUCGAAGGCAUCAAUAACCACAACCGAGUUAAACAUAUAGUCAGAUUACUUCAAAAUAAUUAAUUUUAAAUAAUCCUGUUUAAUGUGUAUACACUUGUAAUUAAAUCACUGUGACAGAAUAAUCUUUCAUUAUGGACAGCUAAUUUUAUCAAAACCCUGCCUGGCCCCUACUACCACUAGUAUACAAAAACAUAUUUCCCCUUAAUUUGUUUAAUUUAUUUAGUUCGUUUAAUAAAUAUAUUUUUUCAAACUCUGUAAUCAAAAGAUAUUUUUAAUUUAAGAUUAUAAAAUCUAAAAUCUACUUUAUUUUCUCAAACUUGGUGAUAAUUAAAUUAUUAGUCAAACAAAUUGAAACGUAAAAAAUAAACAGAGUAUUUAAAUUUUGAGAAUCUUAAUUUAUAAGUAUGAUUUCUUAUUCUGAUUUUAAAUUAUGAAUUUAAUAUUUGUUCUCAACUUUUUUAUUAGACAUAAAGUAUAAUUCAAAAUUCAAACACCAUAAUGUAAAGGUAAUAUAAAGUACUCAAAUUUGAAGGACUCUGUGAGUAGAAAGAGAGUGAGAGAGAGAGAGAGAAAAAAGGUCUCUUUUUUGUUUUGUUUGUUCAUUGAAUUGAGUGGAGAUCUGCAGAGGAAAUGGCAAGUUUUGGAGGGACAACUCAGAAGUGUAAGGCUUGUGAAAAAACUGUUUACUUGGUGGAUCAACUUACUGCUGACAAUAAGGUUUAUCAUAAAGCUUGUUUCAGAUGCCACCAUUGUAAGGGUACACUCAAGGUGAUACACACUAAAAAUCUGAUCUUUUUCUUGUUAAAUGUGCUUUUGUGCUUUUAUCUUGCUUGAUGUUAUAUGUGGUGUACAUUUAUAUGUGAAAUCAAUGUUAUUUCAUACUGUAGAUAGAAUUGUAAUGUUCUAAUUGAUUUCAAGAGAGGAGGGGGCAAGGAAAGCAAGAAGAGGGUAGGGUUUAUGUUGAAUAGUGAAAAAUGGAGGGGUGGUGUCCUUUUAUGGAUUUGGACAAUUCUCCACUUCUUGAGCUAGUUUUUGGAGUUGAGUUAGAUUCAAGAUUCAUUUUUUAUAUGGUAUCAGGACCCAUCCCAAUUAUUGUGUAUGAUGUUGGGUUCCCAUUUUAAGUUGCCCACAUACUAGACCUCUAGCUGUGGGCGUGGGGUGUUGAAGAUUCCCACAUCAGAUGAAAAGGGGAUGGGUGGUCUCUUAUAUGGACUUGCGCAAUCCUCCCCUCGUGAGCUGGCUUUUGGGGGUUGAGUUAGGUCCAAGAUCCAUUUCUUUAUAGUUUUAGUAUUUGAAUCCGCAACAAGAAGUUGCAAGCUUGCAACAAGAACGAUGUCUUACUGUGCUUUGUUAGAAAUGAAUGAUUGGGUUUGGUUGGGAGAUCCAUGAUGCUCUUCUGUUUAUCCCAAAAGAACAGAGAUUUCAAC
Molecule: long non-coding RNA, 27189 nt
Filed under: Solanum tuberosum (potato)
Lineage: Eukaryota; Viridiplantae; Streptophyta; Magnoliopsida; Solanales; Solanaceae
Description: long non-coding RNA (STUB_LNC006794)
Source: RNAcentral